GCUGGAGUGGUAGAGUGGUCAAAUACACUUCUCUGUAAAAGAAGCGCCGCAAGGCUUCCUUGGUUCGAAUCCAAGCUCCAGCACUA
This 86-nucleotide transfer RNA is filed under the name Candidatus Beckwithbacteria bacterium CG1_02_47_37. RNAcentral describes it as "tRNA-Tyr". It matches the Rfam family "tRNA". From Rfam's summary of the family: Transfer RNA (tRNA) molecules are approximately 80 nucleotides in length. Their secondary structure includes four short double-helical elements and three loops (D, anti-codon, and T loops). The record is from RNAcentral. RNAcentral also lists the same sequence under 4 other names. Lineage: Bacteria; Candidatus Beckwithiibacteriota.